UGGUGGAGUGAUUUGACUGCUUAAUUGCGUUAACGAACGAGACCUUAACCUGCUAAAUAGUGACUCCCCACUACAUGUGGAGAGGACCACUUCUUAGAGGGACUCUGUGUGCUUAAGCAUAGGGAAGUUUGAGGCAAAAACA
Molecule: ribosomal RNA, 142 nt
Filed under: uncultured eukaryote
Lineage: Eukaryota
Description: partial 18S ribosomal RNA
Rfam family: Eukaryotic small subunit ribosomal RNA
Source: RNAcentral